AGUGCAUCAGGUGGAUGCCUUGGCGAUGAUAGGCGACGAAGGACGUGUAAGCCUGCGAAAAGCGCGGGGGAGCUGGCAAUAAAGCUAUGAUCCCGCGGUGUCCGAAUGGGGAAACCCACCUCUUAGAAGGUAUCCUUAUCUGAAUACAUAGGAUAAGCGAAGCGAACCCGGAGAACUGAACCAUCUAAGUACCCGGAGGAAAAGAAAUCAACCGAGAUUCCGCAAGUAGUGGCGAGCGAACGCGGAGGAGCCUGUACGUGAUAACUGUCGAGAUAGAAGAACAAGCUGGGAAGCUUGACCAUAGUGGGUGAUAGUCCCGUAUUCGAAAUCUCAACAGUGGUACUAAGCGUACGAAAAGUAGGGCGGGACACGUGAAAUCCUGUCUGAAUAUGGGGGGACCAUCCUCCAAGGCUAAAUACUCAUCAUCGACCGAUAGUGAACCAGUACCGUGAGGGAAAGGCGAAAAGAACCCCGGGAGGGGAGUGAAAUAGAACCUGAAACCUGAUGCAUACAAACAGUGGGAGCACCCAUGUGGUGUGACUGCGUACCUUUUGUAUAAUGGGUCAACGACUUACAUUCAGUAGCGAGCUUAACCGAAUAGGGGAGGCGUAGGGAAACCGAGUCUUAAUAGGGCGAACAGUUGCUGGGUGUAGACCCGAAACCGAGUGAUCUAUCCAUGGCCAGGUUGAAGGUGCCGUAACAGGUACUGGAGGACCGAACCCACGCAUGUUGCAAAAUGCGGGGAUGAGCUGUGGAUAGGGGUGAAAGGCUAAACAAACUCGGAGAUAGCUGGUUCUCCCCGAAAACUAUUUAGGUAGUGCCUCGAGCAAGACACUGAUGGGGGUAAAGCACUGUUAUGGCUAGGGGGUUAUUGCAACUUACCAACCCAUGGCAAACUAAGAAUACCAUCAAGUGGUUCCUCGGGAGACAGACAGCGGGUGCUAACGUCCGUUGUCAAGAGGGAAACAACCCAGACCGCCAGCUAAGGUCCCAAAUGAUAGAUUAAGUGGUAAACGAAGUGGGAAGGCCCAGACAGCCAGGAUGUUGGCUUAGAAGCAGCCAUCAUUUAAAGAAAGCGUAAUAGCUCACUGGUCGAGUCGUCCUGCGCGGAAGAUGUAACGGGGCUCAAAUCUAUAACCGAAGCUGCGGAUGCCAGUUUACUGGCAUGGUAGGGGAGCGUUCUGUAGGCCGAUGAAGGUGCAUUGUAAAGUGUGCUGGAGGUAUCAGAAGUGCGAAUGUUGACAUGAGUAGCGAUAAAGCGGGUGAAAAGCCCGCUCGCCGAAAGCCCAAGGUUUCCUACGCAACGUUCAUCGGCGUAGGGUGAGUCGGCCCCUAAGGCGAGGCAGAAAUGCGUAGUCGAUGGGAAACAGGUUAAUAUUCCUGUACUUGAUUCAAAUGCGAUGUGGGGACGGAGAAGGUUAGGUUAGCAAGCUGUUGGAAUAGCUUGUUUAAGCCGGUAGGUGGAAGACUUAGGCAAAUCCGGGUCUUCUUAACACCGAGAAGUGACGACGAGUGUCUACGGACAUGAAGUAACCGAUACCACGCUUCCAGGAAAAGCCACUAAGCUUCAGUUUGAAUCGAACCGUACCGCAAACCGACACAGGUGGGCAGGAUGAGAAUUCUAAGGCGCUUGAGAGAACUCGGGAGAAGGAACUCGGCAAAUUGAUACCGUAACUUCGGGAGAAGGUAUGCCCUCUAAGGUUAAGGACUUGCUCCGUAAGCCCUGGAGGGUCGCAGAGAAUAGGUGGCUGCGACUGUUUAUUAAAAACACAGCACUCUGCUAACACGAAAGUGGACGUAUAGAGUGUGACGCCUGCCCGGUGCUGGAAGGUUAAUUGAAGAUGUGCAAGCAUCGGAUCGAAGCCCCAGUAAACGGCGGCCGUAACUAUAACGGUCCUAAGGUAGCGAAAUUCCUUGUCGGGUAAGUUCCGACCCGCACGAAUGGCGUAACGAUGGCCACACUGUCUCCUCCCGAGACUCAGCGAAGUUGAAGUGGUUGUGAAGAUGCAAUCUACCCGCUGCUAGACGGAAAGACCCCGUGAACCUUUACUGUAGCUUUGCAUUGGACUUUGAAGUCACUUGUGUAGGAUAGGUGGGAGGCUU
RNAcentral lists this ribosomal RNA (2103 nucleotides) under metagenome. RNAcentral describes it as "bacterial LSU rRNA". It matches the Rfam family "Bacterial large subunit ribosomal RNA", at positions 14 to 2157 of the family's 2925-position model. The record is from RNAcentral.